GACGAACGCUGGCGGCGUGCUUAACACAUGCAAGUCGAACGAUGAAGCCGGAGCUUGCUCUGGUGAAUUAGUGGCGAACGGGUGAGUAACACGUGAGUAACCUGCCCUUGACUCUGGGAUAACUGCUAGAAAUGGUAGCUAAUACCGGAUACGACCCUCGGAGGCAUCUCCAGGGGGUGGAAAGAAUUUCGGUCAAGGAUGGACUCGCGGCCUAUCAGCUAGUUGGUGAGGUAACGGCUCACCAAGGCGACGACGGGUAGCCGGCCUGAGAGGGGGACCGGCCACACUGGGACUGGGACACGGCCCAGGCUCCUACGGGGGGCAGCAGUGGGGAAUAUUGCACAAUGGGCGCAAGCCUGAUGCAGCAACGCCGCGUGAGGGAUGACGGCCUUCGGGUUGUAAACCUCUUUUAGUAGGGAAGAAGCGAAAGUGACGGUACCUGCAGAAAAAGCACCGGCUAACUACGUGCCAGCAGCCGCCGUAA
This 484-nucleotide ribosomal RNA is filed under the name uncultured bacterium. Its description in RNAcentral is "partial 16S ribosomal RNA". It matches the Rfam family "Bacterial small subunit ribosomal RNA", at positions 28 to 523 of the family's 1533-position model. The record is from RNAcentral.